Molecule: unclassified non-coding RNA, 162 nt
Filed under: uncultured Selenophoma
Lineage: Eukaryota; Fungi; Ascomycota; Dothideomycetes; Dothideales
Description: sequence contains ITS2
Source: RNAcentral
CACCACUCAAGCAUUGCUUGGUAUUGGGCUCACCGUCCCCGCCAGUCGGGGGCGUGCCUCAAACACCUCGGCGGAGCCUCACCGGCUUUGGGCGUAGUAGAUUUUCUAAACGUCCUUUAACGGAGAGUGCUUCUUUGCCGAUUGAAGACUUACACUUCUUAA